AAGCAGAGGAGCUCGGGGGGAUGUUGAGUCUCGAAGCAAUGCGGAGGAGUUCGGGAGAGCGCGGGGAGUGCGGGGUCUGCGCCCACUCAUUGCCCGCCGCACCUUGCCGCCCGCGGACCGCCAGUCAGCAACUGUGACUCGUGUUGGCUGAACCAUCAGUAGGGCCAUCUUCUUUUUCUUGCCGUAGGACACUCAAACAACAAACACAAAAUGGCGGAUGAUGAAGCGAAGAAGGCCAAACAGGCCGAAAUCGACCGCAAGCGUGCUGAGGUGCGCAAGCGUAUGGAGGAAGCCUCCAAGGCCAAGAAGGCGAAGAAAGGUUUCAUGACCCCCGAGAGAAAGAAGAAGCUUAGGUUGCUCCUGCGUAAAAAAGCCGCUGAAGAGUUAAAGAAAGAACAGGAACGCAAAGCAGCCGAGAGAAGGCGUAUCAUCGAAGAGAGGUGCGGUAAACCCAAGAACGUUGACGAUGCAAACGAAGCAAUGCUCAAGAGAAUAAUACAGGAGUAUUAUGACCGCUUGUAUGUGUGUGAGGGCCAGAAGUGGGAUUUGGAACAUGAAGUCAGGAAAAGAGAUUAUGAGAUCUCUGACCUGAACUCCCAAGUCAAUGACCUCAGAGGAAAAUUCGUCAAACCAACACUCAAGAAGGUGUCCAAAUAUGAGAACAAAUUCGCCAAGCUCCAGAAGAAGGCGGCCGAAUUCAACUUCCGUAACCAGUUGAAGGUUGUCAAAAAGAAGGAAUUCACCCUCGAAGAAGAAGACAAAGAGGCUAAGAAAGCGGAGAAAGCUGAUUGGGCUAUCGGAAAGAAGUGAUUUAGCUUCACGCAUGAAUUACUAUUACAAUAUUUCCAUCACAUCGAUCCCUGAUGAAUUAUUUACUUUAAUUAUAAAUUAUUUUUUUUAAUAAAUUAUAUAUAUCGUUUAUUUUGGCUUUAAAAUUUCCCAUAAAAUUCAAAUAUAAAGGGAAAUAAGAAAAAACCAGACUGGUCCAAGGGCAAGCCAGGAGACCAGAAGGUAAAGGAGGAGGAAGUUGAGGCAUGAAGUGUUGUUCCCACCACAUUUAUGUGACCUUUGUAACAGCUGACCAAAAAAUGCAUUUCAAGCACGAUUUUACCCCCACACAGGGUUCAAUUCUCCUUGAUAAAAUUCCUUCACCAUUCUUUAUGUAUUUUCUGACGAUACUUCGAUCAUCAAUUUUUAUAAUUAUUUAUUUAUAAAUAAUGUUUUUGUAAGUUAAUAAUAUGUUAAAUAAAAUUAAUUUCUGUAUUA
Vanessa tameamea is the source of this 1266-nucleotide RNA transcript. It is a transcript of the gene named wings up A, with no coding region annotated. The transcript has 9 exons. Lineage: Eukaryota; Metazoa; Arthropoda; Insecta; Lepidoptera; Nymphalidae. The record is from RefSeq and is a predicted model, not a curated record.